AUGGGGAUGUUGCUGGCCACCUUACUAUGUUGGUUUCAACGAAAAAGCUCCUACAACGAUGGCGAUCUCCCGAAGAAGGGUCUAGAGAUCGUGCCAGCUGCGAUAAAGGAUACUGGUGCGGCGGUGCCGGUGCAACCGAUGAGGGUGAGGAGGAGGAGGAUCAGCUCAUCCAAAAUGAUCUGGACGAGGGCAGUAGACCGGAUCGUCCUGGACGAGAUGAUCCUCCUCCACCACACCCUCAUCGGUUGCACCGGCACCGCCCCCGUGGUCUCCCUCCUCCAAGUUUGCAUCUGCAACAUGCAUCACAAGCCCUUCGGAUUCACGGUCAGCAAGCUGCUCCGUGCUGCCAUGCGGCUUGAACCGAAUGAGUUCAUACUCAGUUUCCCCUGGAGCAAAGAAGUCUGCUUCAACCUUGUUCGACUACCUUGCUUCCACCGCAGCACCUUUCGCGUGCUGGAAAGGCUUGAAUUCGACUCCUCUGAGUAUGAUUUGAUUGGGCUCCACACGAUGUCCCUCUCAAAAGAUUGGCCUGGGUGGCCUCUACAUCUCUCUCCCUUGAUGCCUGACCUCUGA
This 573-nucleotide ribosomal RNA is filed under the name Triticum aestivum (bread wheat). Its description in RNAcentral is "partial small subunit ribosomal RNA". Lineage: Eukaryota; Viridiplantae; Streptophyta; Magnoliopsida; Poales; Poaceae. The record is from RNAcentral.